Molecule: non-coding RNA, 79 nt
Organism: Podarcis lilfordi (Lilford's wall lizard)
Lineage: Eukaryota; Metazoa; Chordata; Lepidosauria; Squamata; Lacertidae
Source: the annotation of a GenBank genome assembly
GUCUGCAGAAUGCUAGCUCUGUCGGUAAAGCAUGAGACUUUUCAUCUCAGGGCAUUGAGUUUGAGCCCCAUGUUGGGCA